RNAcentral lists this transfer RNA (69 nucleotides) under Thorius n. sp. RLM-2004. Its description in RNAcentral is "tRNA-Thr". The record is from RNAcentral. Lineage: Eukaryota; Metazoa; Chordata; Amphibia; Caudata; Plethodontidae.
ACUGCUGUAGUUUAAAAAAAACACCGAUCUUGUAAGUCGGGAGACGGGGAGUUUUUCCCCCGCCAGUAG